Molecule: long non-coding RNA, 423 nt
Organism: Schistocerca serialis cubense
Lineage: Eukaryota; Metazoa; Arthropoda; Insecta; Orthoptera; Acrididae
Exons: 5
Source: RefSeq, a predicted model, not a curated record
CAUGGCCCGCCCGCGACUGCCCGCUGCCUUGCUGGCCGCCGCGCUGCUCUCAGGAUGUCUGGUAGCUGCCGAGGAAGAAGAGCAGAUAGUACCUCCCGCAAAUUAUGCAAAGCGAGGAGCAGAGAACCUGGGACUUCGGUUCAAUAUGGGAAAAAAGUUUGGCCGCUACUCAUGGCUUAGGUCAGCAGAUUCAACCAGAAGGCGUGUGGAAUUUUACUUAGCUAGCCAACAACGCCUUGCACAACAAAAGCUUCCAGGAGAGCGUGAUGAAUGGAGACCUUUCUAUAAUUAAAUAUGACUGGACAUCACUAUCCGAUAGCUGAUUAUCAGGAUAUUUUUCCAAAUCCUAAGAAUGUGGGAAAAUUCUUUGCGAGCACAUUUCAAACAUAAUGUCAUAUCUAGUAUCAUAGAAAAUAGUGUAGA